GGCGCAUGCCUGUAAUCCCAGCACUUUGGCAGGCUAAAAGGGCGGGGAUCACUUGAGCCCAGGAGUUCAAGACUAGCCUGGGACACAUGCUGAGACCCUGUCUCUACUUAAAACAAAAAAAAAAUUAAAAAUUAAGCCCGGGCAAAACAGAGUGAGACUUUGUCGCCAUGAAAAAAUAAAAAAAAUUAGCCAACGUGGUGGCGUGCACUUGCAGUCCCAGCUACUUGAGUUGCUGAUUUCGGGAACAUCACUUGAGCCCAGGAGUUUGAGGCUGCACUGAGCCGUGAUCGUGCCACUGUACUCCAGCCUGGGUGACAGAGUGAGCUCCUCUCUCUAAAAAAAAAAGAAAAGAAAAAAGAAAAAAUUUGAAAUAAAAUAUUGGCUAACUGGACCUCAUGGUCUGAGUUUCUCUAGUUUAAUAUCAGACGAUAUCAGUGCAAUUUGUUCCGCCAAUACGCUACAGAAGAACUCUAACUCAGGCAUAGAAAAGCAUUAGAUGGAAUAUAAUUGAUUUCACCUACUUUGUUUAUGAUUAAAAAGCUCUUAGCACAAUAGACAUACUUUUCAAUGGUACAGGUUAGACACCCAUGUCCACAACAACCACGUAUAUGAUGGAGAAACUUCAGUGGCUGAGUCCAUGACCAGGACAAAAUGCCCAAUGAUGUGCUCCUGGUUCACACCAGGAGCCUCAGACACUCACGUGGCCUCAGAGACACACGAUCCAGCAAUCGUGCUCUUUGGCAUUUACUCAGCUGGGUUGAAAACUUAUGCCUGUACAAAAAUCUUCAUGUGAAUGUUUAUAGCAUCUUUAUUCAUCAUUGUCCACAACUGUCCAAACUGGAAGCAACCGAGAUAUCCUUUCUUUGGUAUCAGUACAUCCAUUCAAUGACAUAAGAUAGAAGGUGCCAGCACGCCACACCAAGGCAUGCGUGAAUUGUGAAUGAGGGUGAAAGAAGCCAGUCGGAGGCUGGGCACGGUGGCUCACGUCUGUGAUCCCAGCACUUUGGGAGGCCGAGGCGGACAGAUCACCUGAGGUCAGGAGUUUGAGACCAGCCUGGCCAACAUGGUGAAACCCUGUCUCUACUAAAAAAAUAAAAAAUAAAAAAAUAAAAAUUUAGCCGGGCGUGGUGCUGGGCACCUGUAAUCCCAGCCACUCGGGAGGCUGAGGGAAGAGAAUUGCUUGGACCCAGGAGGCAGAGGUUGCCAUGAGCCGAGAUCACACCACUGCACUCCAGCCUCUGUGACAGAGUGGGACCUUGUCUCAAAAAAAAAAAAAAAAAAAAAAGAGGAGAGAGGGAGGGGUGAACAGGUGGAACACAGAGGAUUUUAGGACAGUGAAAUGAUUCUACGUGAUAGUGUAGUAUUCUACUAUAAUGUGGUAGUAUUCUACUAUAAUGCGGAAUACACAAAACUACACGUGUCAAAAUCCAUAGACUGUACAGGAGAGAGAGUUGGCCUUAAGGUAUGCAAAUUUAAUCACUUGGGAGAUGGAGGAUCCCAGCAUGGAAUUCAGACUGUGACAAGAGACUCUAACUGCAUUACAGAUGCAUGGGUGCACUGUCUGCAAUGGCUGAGAAGCCAGCGCUCCAUGCAGGAGGAAUGAUGUGUCCUUGCCACUGCCCUCAUUUGUGACUUGGACAGCCGCUCCCAGCAGGAUGGUGUCCUUUCCUCCAGAGCCAGGGGAGGAGUUAGGCCUGAUGCCUGGGUGGUACCUGCCUCACCCAGGUUGCAGAGAGCCUCACGGCAGGGUGCUGACCUAAGUAACUUUGGACACGCGUGGAGUCUGUAGGACUAAAGACAGAGGAUGUCAACACUUCCUCUAGGUGAUAAAGGCAUUUCCCACGGGGAUACCAGCUAAUAAUUCUGAAACCACUAUACAUCUACUCUGGAAGUGAAAAACUGAGUACGUGGUGGCAGGUGGUAGGGGUCAGGUUUCUCACUAUGGGAAUGGGAGCUUCCAGAUAAACAAAUGGAAAGGCUAGAAUGAUCCAUGUGGUAACAGAAUUAGAGACAUUGGUAUAAUUUCAUGCUUAAUGUAGCUACUUCUGGAUAUGUGUACAAACAGAUGUGUAUACACACAGCUUCGUAUACACACAUCUAUCUCUUUGUUCUGUCAGCUGAGAAGCAAUGAGCACACUUAGCCUUCAGAUCUUGGUCUCUAAGACCCUUCUCCAGUUAAAAGAACCACAGGUCCUUGGCUAAGUGGCUGAUUUGAGGACUGGAACAGCAAAUACAUAAGAUGAUCCUGGAGUGCCUUGCAGUGCUAGUGUUAUGGGCUGAAUUUCUUUGCCCCCAAAUCACAGGUGGAAGCCCUAGCCCCCGAUGUGACUGCAUUUGGAGAUGGAGCCUUUGAGGAAAUGAUUAAGGUUCAAUGAGGUCAUGAGGGUCAGGGGCCCUGAUCUGAUUAGAUUGGUGUCUUUUUUUUAUUCAGUAGAGGCAGGGUCUCACUAUAUUGCCCAGGCUGGUCUUGAACUCCUGGACUCAAGUGAUCCUCCCGCUUUGGCCUUCCAAAGCGCUGGGAUUACGAGCAUGAGCCACCACACCCAGCCAAGACUGUUGUCCUUAUGAGAACAGGAAGAAACACCAGGAGUGAGCAUGCAGGGAGAGGCCACGUGAGCACACAGAGGAGAGGCCACGUGAGCACGCAGGGAGAGGCCACAUGAGGACACAGGGAAAGGUCAUGUGAGGACGCAGGGAGAGGCCACGUGAGCAUGCAGACAGGCUAUAGGAGAAUGCAGGGAGAGGUCACACGAGGACGCAGGGAUGCUGUCUGUAAGCCACAGAGAGGCCUCAGGAGGAACCCACCCUGCCGGCAGCCUGAUCUCAGACGUCCAGACUCCAUAACUGUGAGAAGAGAAACACCUGUUGUUUAAGCUGCCCAGGCUGUGGCAUUUAGCUGUGGCAGCCCUGGUAAUAUAGUUAGAAGGUGAAGAAGUGAUCGAAAAACAAAACCAGCACCGUGUUGGCUCAUAACUUGCAGCAUAAAUCUCCACAAGUCCGUACCGAUAUAAGGAAAUGACUGAGUAAAUAAAUAAGUGGGGAGGAGAGAUGAAUCACAAAGGAAUUCCAAGUAGUUUGUGUAGACACUCUGCCCCUAAGGAGGGGAGCCUAACCCCCACACCUUCCUUGGGUGCUGCAAAUACUGACUUCCCCACCAAGGGCACCAUGUGGAAAGGGGGACUUCGUGGUGGAGAAACCUGACAGGCUCCGCAUUGGCCAGGAGAAAGAUAUCAGACCAAUCCCCACAGAGGGACACCCUCCGACACACCUGGCCAGCGCUCCUCAAAACUGCCAAGGUCAUCAAACAUGAGAGAAGCUGAGAGGAGCCUGAGACCCGAGGACUGAGUGUCCAGGAUGGGCUCCUGGGACAGGAAAAGGACAGCAGGUGAAACUGAGGCAAUAGGAAUCAAGUGCACACCUUAGUCAAUUACAAUGUGUCAGUAUUGGCUCAUUAAUUACAUAACAAACACCAAACUAAUGUCAGAUGUUAACAACAGUGCCCUCCUAUCUAUCUUCACAUCUUAUCUGGAAACCCAGAUCUAUUCUAAAAUAAAACAUUUAUCUAAAAAUAAAAAGGAAAAAGUUGCUGUAGGUUCCUGAUUGCUCCCAUAGCAGGUUAGGCUCUCCCCCGUCGUUCCUAGCUUGCUAAUAGUGGUAACAACAAUGGCCAUUUAAAUCUACCAUCUCAAGAUGGAAAAAACACAUGUACACAAAACGCAGUGGAAGGGCUGGCUACGAGUCAGAGGAAUGACAGCAAGGAUGGCUGAAUAACAAAGAAACAGAUGAAAUCAGAGGAGCCUUGCCUGUUCUGACCAUAUUCUACACCUGGGACCCUCUUCGGGAGGCCCAGCCAAAGAAAGAAAGAAGGGCC
Molecule: long non-coding RNA, 3871 nt
Filed under: Homo sapiens (human)
Lineage: Eukaryota; Metazoa; Chordata; Mammalia; Primates; Hominidae
Description: HSALNT0246453
Source: RNAcentral